CCAAAUGUUCCUUUUAUGGAAAAGCUGCGUUUAGACACUGGAGUGGCUUCCAAGUUCACCGUGGCCAUAAGUUAAGGACAUUUUUCUCUUAAUUGUAUCAGAAUGAUAAAAUCGCCUUGUUUUUACUAAAAGAUGAGCAAUGUGAAAUGAGAAUAUCAUCAAAGAAAGAGCCUGGUGCUGCUUUGGGCCAGAACCAAACAUUUCAUAGGUGGAUGAUUAGAUGCUCAAGAAUUGAGAAUUUGCCCCGUGGGGAAAUUGAACAACAGAGGAGCAAGAAAUCUGAGGAUAUUGAAAUGAAAAUAGAGGAAGUGAUGGUAUCUUAAACGUAAAGGGCAGGAAAACUUUCAGAAAGACGCUAACAAUGGUCAACUUUAUUGAGAUUUCAGAUGCCUUUCUGAAAAUAUAUAAAUAUAUAUAAAAUGGUAUCUAUGAAUAAUACAUAUACAUUAAUUUUUUAAGAGGCAAUUACCCUAUCGAUCUUCUUGGCUGAGUUCUUGAUGAAUGACAUGUGGGAGAUACAAGAUAAAAUUUAUCAAAUAAAUAAAUGUUUAAAUACUUUUACAAUUAGCAUGUCAUUUAGGGAACUAGACAAUAUUAAAGUAUUUGCUUUUUCUUCUUUUUAAAUUGGAGUUGAAGCUGAGGCACUAGGUCAAGUCAUUAGGUAGCACAGAGAAAAGUAAAAGUUCUAU
Molecule: long non-coding RNA, 689 nt
Organism: Fukomys damarensis (Damara mole-rat)
Lineage: Eukaryota; Metazoa; Chordata; Mammalia; Rodentia; Bathyergidae
Exons: 3
Source: RefSeq, a predicted model, not a curated record